RNAcentral lists this ribosomal RNA (659 nucleotides) under uncultured Bacteroidales bacterium. RNAcentral describes it as "bacterial SSU rRNA". It matches the Rfam family "Bacterial small subunit ribosomal RNA", at positions 81 to 738 of the family's 1533-position model. The record is from RNAcentral. Lineage: Bacteria; Pseudomonadati; Bacteroidota; Bacteroidia; Bacteroidales.
AAGACUGAUGGCGACCGGCGCACGGGUGAGUAACACGUAUCCAACCUGCCGUCUACUCUUGGACAGCCUUCUGAAAGGAAGAUUAAUACAAGAUGGCAUCAUGAGUCCGCAUGUUCACAUGAUUAAAGGUAUUCCGGUAGACGAUGGGGAUGCGUUCCAUUAGAUAGUAGGCGGGGUAACGGCCCACCUAGUCUUCGAUGGAUAGGGGUUCUGAGAGGAAGGUCCCCCACAUUGGAACUGAGACACGGUCCAAACUCCUACGGGAGGCAGCAGUGAGGAAUAUUGGUCAAUGGGCGAGAGCCUGAACCAGCCAAGUAGCGUGAAGGAUGACUGCCCUAUGGGUUGUAAACUUCUUUUAUAAAGGAAUAAAGUCGGGUAUGUAUACCCGUUUGCAUGUACUUUAUGAAUAAGGAUCGGCUAACUCCGUGCCAGCAGCCGCGGUAAUACGGAGGAUCCGAGCGUUAUCCGGAUUUAUUGGGUUUAAAGGGAGCGUAGAUGGAUGUUUAAGUCAGUUGUGAAAGUUUGCGGCUCAACCGUAAAAUUGCAGUUGAUACUGGAUAUCUUGAGUGCAGUUGAGGCAGGCGGAAUUCGUGGUGUAGCGGUGAAAUGCUUAGAUAUCACGAAGAACUCCGAUUGCGAAGGCAGCCUGCUAAGCUGCA